GUGCCAGCAGCCGCGGUAAUACAGAGGGUGCAAGCGUUAAUCGGAAUUACUGGGCGUAAAGCGAGCGUAGGUGGCUUGAUAAGUCAGAUGUGAAAUCCCCGGGCUUAACCUGGGAACUGCAUCUGAUACUGUUGGGCUAGAGUAGGUGAGAGGGAGGUAGAAUUUCAGGUGUAGCGGUGAAAUGCGUAGAGAUCUGAAGGAAUACCGAUGGCGAAGGCAGCCUCCUGGCAUCAUACUGACACUGAGGUUCGAAAGCGUGGGUAGCAAACAG
Molecule: ribosomal RNA, 271 nt
Filed under: uncultured prokaryote
Description: partial 16S ribosomal RNA
Rfam family: Bacterial small subunit ribosomal RNA
Source: RNAcentral